UGGCUUAACGGUUAGGGCGUUUGGCCAAAAACCAAAAGUCAUGGGUUCAAGUCCCUU
This 57-nucleotide transfer RNA is filed under the name Branchiostoma floridae (Florida lancelet). It matches the Rfam family "tRNA", at positions 8 to 63 of the family's 71-position model. Rfam says of the family: Transfer RNA (tRNA) molecules are approximately 80 nucleotides in length. Lineage: Eukaryota; Metazoa; Chordata; Leptocardii; Amphioxiformes; Branchiostomatidae. The record is from Rfam by way of RNAcentral.